This is a long non-coding RNA of Apus apus (common swift), 3293 nucleotides long. RefSeq lists it as uncharacterized. The record is from RefSeq and is a predicted model, not a curated record. NCBI's taxonomy places the organism in Eukaryota, Metazoa, Chordata, Aves, Apodiformes, Apodidae. The transcript is spliced from 3 exons.
UGUUAGCAAGUUUACUUUUAGAAGAGGUACUUUAACAUAGAUUAAAGCCAGUAUUUGACCUACCAUAAUCAAAGGUAGUAACUGUUGUCUUUUAGCAUACUGGGCCUCUGGAAGUCAGACAGCUUUUAUCUUGGUGUUGUGGACAGUGGUGAAAUGUGUUGUAUCCAGCUGAUAAAUGCAAAAAGCAGCAACAGACUAGCGAGGAAUUCUCCCUGCAGUCUAAUGAUCUGUUAUUCAUCGCUGUUUAUAAGUGCCCUUACUGUAUGUUUGCUGUGCUGUCAUGGAAACAGCCAUUCAGCCAACCAAUUAAGAGAAAAUUAAAAUGACGUUGUCAAGAUAAGCAUAUGUUAGAAAUUAAUUUAUUAUCUGUUUCACAAAAAAAACCCCAACAAAACAACAAACCCACAAUAUUUUUAAUUCUUAAGAAUCCUGUUUGCAUUUUUCUUUUUGGAAAAAAAUUAAGACAUAUUCCAUAAAUGUACAAUCCAAGCACUAGCUAUGUGAAGUCUGUGCCUUCAUACAACCUAUAUACAAUGGAUCAUGAGUGACUUUACAAGUGCAUUUAAUAGAAUUACUUCAUUAUACUUUACUAUGAUGGUUUUCAAGUCCUCACAUAGGAGUAAUAGACUCCACCUAUGUCUGGAUGCUGAUUUUUUUUUUAUUUUUAUUUUUUAUUUUUUUUUACAUGGCAAAAAACCACAGUAGUGCCACCAUGGCACGUUGGUACAUCAUGCCACAAAUAGUCGUGAGACUUGUUAGUAGCUUCUCCAAAGGUGCAGCUUCAUAACAGCAUUGGAAGUGCUAGGGCCCUGCCUUCCACUCUGCAUUCCCUCUCCAGCUGCAUCCCUGCUUGCUCCCUUGCACUGGUGUAGGUAAACAUUUAUCUCCCUGUGAUGUGAAGGAGAAGCACCAGUUGGGUUCCUUUUCUCCCUGAACCUGCUCAGAUGAGCACCAGCCCCAUCGCAUAGUAAAUGGGGAGAAUACCUGAAACGACAUCCUCAUCUUAUGAUGUGGCUCCACAACACAACUGCAAGGAUGAGAAGGCCUCCCCUAUGAAGUGUGCUGCAGUUUAAGCUGUCUCAGCUAUCUAACUCUUAAAAACUGUAUUACUCCCUUUACUGGAAAAUUGUUCUAGUCCAUCACCCUCAGUGGAGCUCCUUAAGAUAAGCAGUCUUCUCUGCGACAUCUCCAGUGUGUCCUCUCUUGCCACAGAAGCAUAUUCUCUCCCCAGCUCAUGUGGAGGCAGGCAGAUAUGUAAUGGUAGAGUCAAGCUGUGCAAUUUUCCCUCCUAAGGGAUUCUCUGCUAGCACUUUGUGGCCCCAUUAGAGCUUCUCGUUGCUGCUUUAGCAGUGCAAAAAGCUGUGCUGCACAAGGGAAUCUACCCAAUAGACUCUUACUAAAAUAUCACUCUCAUGAAGACAACAGAAAAGCCACCUCCAAAGUCACUAGAGUCAAACUGUAAAACUACACAGAAAAUAAGAGGAUAUCAAAGCCUGGAUGGAUAAAUCUUCUUGUGCUAUUCUUGUAUUCAGAUGAAGAAGGGGAAACAAUAAAUCAGUGCUAAUGUGCAUGGAGACCUGGAAUGUGCUGCAUCUUUCUCCAGUGAUACAUGGUUGAGAAAACAGCUGAUGAAAGUCAUUAUUUAUAGCAAGUAUAAAAAACAGUGCUAGUUAGAACUCAAUAGCUGUCACCAUCAUUUUAGCAAAAGCUUGUGAGAGUUACACCAAUUUGAUGGUGUCUUAAAGUGAGCUGAACUGUAGAGAACUGCAGUUUAGUUUCAGAUACCAAGAAAAUAAUCAGUAACAGUAGUAAUCAAAAUGAAUGAACCCUAGUGACUGCAGAGCUGUCAGCAUCUUUUUCCCUCCUGCUCCAGCUGAUCUCAAAUAUGACAGUACUGAAGAAGAAUCCACUACAACUACCAAGUAUGGUACAGUCUAAAUGAGACUUUCUACUUAUUCUCUCACUCACCUGGGAGUACUAAACCUUAUCCACAGAAUACAGAAAUCUUAAAUCUUAAAAAAUCAUACAAAUUAAGAUUUUUUUAAACUAUCACUUGGUUUUACACCUGUUUUUAUGGAUGUAUUUUGGUUUUGUUUAUGCUAUUACCAAAGUUCAAUGUCCAUAACACUCAGCCACACCAAGUGUCCUAACCCAUUCAGAACAGAUAAUGUUGGCUUAAUUGUAUCUCCAUACUGUAUGUUCAUUCCUGCAGUGGCUUGUUUUCCUCACUAUCUUAAUGAAUAAUAUUGCUGGAAUAUGUUUUACUUAUCCCUUCUUCCAAUUUCAAGCACACUCUUGCUUUAAACUUGCCUUAACCCACAGAUGUUUUUUCAGCAGCAGUCUAAAAUGCACUGAUACAGCAGCAUCACUUUACUUCAGGAACAGAACAGUGCAAUUUAUGCCCCUACAACAAAGUUCUCCUCCAGUCCCAACAUACCUCUUUGGAUCACUUUAGUCCUUUCCUGUUGUGUCCCAUGAUCUUCUUCAAAUAACUUCCACUGAUGGUCCCCACUUUCAGAAGCUUCAGAUAUCUGUGUCACUCUUUUAUCAAACAACACAGAUGCUGAAUUUAUUCCAAAAGGUAACUCAAGAAGUCUCUAGUGACUUUAUGUGACUUUCAAAGCACUAAACAUACUAGGCUCAUCUAAUGUAAGACAUCAUACCUGCAGCUUGCCUCUGAUUCAGAAGUGCUUUGCGUCUUAGAAGCGUUGAACUCAUCUAAUAAUGUCUGGAUGUGUGCAAGUCUUCAGGAGCCACAUAAAUCUUAAACUUUGGUCUGGAUUCUUCAUAAUGCAUCAGCUGGCAGAUGAAGAGUUGCUCCCAGGUUUUCAAAGUACACAAAAGAAUACACAGAUAUCUGAGCUGGGAGGUCUGACUGACUAUGAGCAGCUGCAAUGAGAUUCCUCUGAAGAAGAGCAGCAAGGGACAGAAGAUUUGCAGACCUUCAACAGCAGGACCUCAUGCCUAAAGGACCAUCCCAAGUAUUUCCUUUUACGGCAGGAGUCCAGGUCUGUUUCCUGCACAGAGGAGGUCUGCUUGGAGAAUAGGACUAGGGAGCCUUGUGGAAAUAGUUCUCUAAAGAGUGGAAAGAGGGAACACAACAGUGGAUGAUUUACUGAAAUAAAAAGUCCUUUCAUUUAAAUAAAUUUCAACCAGACCUCAGUCUUUUUAUCUUGUUAGUGUUCUUACUUGGCCUGUGGGGGUCUUGUUGCCUUCGCUUCCAGAAACUUUCAUGUGUUCAAAGAUGCUGUGAAAAAUUACAUGUAUUUUUACUUGAAACCCCCUAUUUUGAA